RNAcentral lists this ribosomal RNA (392 nucleotides) under uncultured bacterium. RNAcentral describes it as "bacterial SSU rRNA". It matches the Rfam family "Bacterial small subunit ribosomal RNA", at positions 28 to 412 of the family's 1533-position model. The record is from RNAcentral.
GACGAACGCUGACGGUGUGCUUUAGACAUGCAAGUCGAACGCGAAAGCCCUUCGGGGUUAGUAGAGUGGCGAACGGGUGAGUAACACGUGGGCAAUCUGCCCCUCGCAGGGGGACAACCGGAGGAAACUCCGGCUAAUACCCCGUACGCUUGCUGGACCGCAUGGGUCCGGCAAGGAAAGGUAGCUUCGGCCAUCCGGCGAGGGAUGAGCCCGCGGUGCAUUAGCUAGUUGGUGAGGUAACGGCNCACCAAGGCGACGAUGCAUAGCUGGUCUGAGAGGAUGAUCAGCCACACUGGGACUGAGACACGGCCCAGACUCCUACGGGAGGCAGCAGUCGGGAAUCUUGCACAAUGGGCGAAAGCCUGAUGCAGCAACACCGUGUGUGCGACGAA